RNAcentral lists this ribosomal RNA (228 nucleotides) under uncultured bacterium. RNAcentral's name for it is "partial 16S ribosomal RNA". It matches the Rfam family "Bacterial small subunit ribosomal RNA", at positions 568 to 795 of the family's 1533-position model. The record is from RNAcentral.
UGCGCAGGCGGGAAAUUAAGUCAGUGGUGAAAUCCUGCAGCUUAACUGUAGAAUUGCCAUUGAAACUGAUUUUCUUGAGUGCAGUUGAGGUGGGCGGAAUGUGUAAUGUAGCGGUGAAAUGCUUAGAUAUUACACAGAACACCGAUUGCGUAGGCAGCUCACUAAACUGUUACUGACGCUCAGGCACGAAAGCGUGGGGAGCGAACAGGAUUAGAUACCCUGGUAGUC